UUUAUUAUUAUUACUACUGUUAUUCUUAAUAUAAUUAUAAACCUGUACAUUUUGCAAAACGUUUUUCAGAACAGUUUGAAAAGUUAACUUUACGUUUACAUGUAUGUAAUCUUUGGCUGGCGAGCUAAUUGUUAAUGACUGCAACACUGGUUACGGUGGUUUGCCUCGUAAAACUGGAGAAAUCGACACUUAAUGUUGCAUUGUCAGCAAAAUACGAUAAAAAUGCAUUUUGCUCAAAGUUCAGUCUAUGUUCUUGAUGAACGGAAAAUUCCCAAUACUUUAAGACGAUAUUUAACCUAAAUUAAGAUCUUUUAAGUUUCGUUUUGUUGUUUGUAAUAUAUUUUAUAAAUUGUAUUCAUCCAUCCAUUCAUUUCCUAACGAAUGUUAACGUAGUGUUUAUUUAACUUUUAAUUAUUUUCUUUUUUGGGGGGUGGGCGCGACUUUUUAAUGAAAAUGAAACAAACAUAUUCCUAUUCGGUUAAGAAGUGAACAUUAAGUCUUCAAAUGAGAAAGUAAUCUAGGUAUAAGCUUCAAAAUUCUACACCACUUUAUAAUAAAUUAUGUUUUCUUAUUUAGCCAGUGAAGUAGUGUCAAAUGAUGUUGCUUUUAAGAAAGCUGAGAAAUUAAAAUCCUUUGCCCAAAUUGAAUGUUCAGAAUUUGGUGCAUUAGUUAACAAGUCUAAAUCUUCCUUCAUUUUCUUACUACAUUUGUGAAAGAUCUUUUUCUUUCUCUUUGGUAAGCCACAUUUAAGUAUUAUAAAUUAGUUUUUAAAUCUUGGAUGUGUACCUACAUUAUUUAUACUGGCUAAUAACCUCUUCUUAAUGUAAAAAAAGAAAUCUUUUUAACUGUGAUCUAUCAAAUUAUAGACCAAUUUUCUAAUCUUUCUUGUAUUUCUGAAAUUUAGAGAAAGGUGUAGGUAAGUGGUUCUCUAUAUUUUUGCAAAUAAAAGUAAUCUCUUGUAACAUUUUCACCCAGGUACUGCUUUAGUCAAAGUAUUCAAUGAUUUGCACUCCACUGACGAAGGUUGCAUUUUUAGGCCCAUAGUAUUACAUCUACAAAACACAUAACUAUUCAAUUGGGAGAGUCAGUACCACUGCUGACUCAAUGCAACAGAUGUUGCACCUUGUUCCAUUGUCCUUUUGUAGUGGUAAUGUUUUUAAGCCCUCCAAACUGGAAAAAUUAAAAAAGCAUUUGAAGAGUCAUUUCAAGAAGGCAGUUCUCCAUGAAGUAACAUGACAAAACGAAUAUCUUCAGGCACAUGGAUACUAAUUAAAAACAAGAAUCUUCCACAGCAGUUGGUUGGGUCAGUGGAUUGUGGAGUAUUCAUGUUGAUGGACAAAGGCGUUCACUAAAGGGGCACUGGAGAGUGUGAAUGAGACCCAGAGCAGUGAGGAGGAACCACUAAUAAAAAGGGACCUCCACACUGCAGUAAAAUGGUUGCCCAACAU
Polypterus senegalus (gray bichir) is the source of this 1448-nucleotide long non-coding RNA. RefSeq lists it as uncharacterized. Lineage: Eukaryota; Metazoa; Chordata; Cladistia; Polypteriformes; Polypteridae. The transcript is spliced from 6 exons. The record is from RefSeq and is a predicted model, not a curated record.